This is a non-coding RNA of Rattus norvegicus (Norway rat), 2991 nucleotides long. NCBI's taxonomy places the organism in Eukaryota, Metazoa, Chordata, Mammalia, Rodentia, Muridae. The record is from RefSeq and is a predicted model, not a curated record.
UAUACAGAGAAACCAAUUAUGAGCACACUAGGGCUGCAGUGCCAGUAACCACAGGGUCUCACACCUAUCGCUUGCCCUGUUCAACACAUUUUCAGUGAGAGAUAACGUCCUGCUAUUUGCACGUCUCAAUUCCAGCAGUGCCUCGGAGGGUGUCUUGGUAGAAAUCAGAGCUCACAGUGAUGACGCACGCUACAGGUGGACUAGUAAAGUGCUGCCUAGCAAAGAUGUCCGAUGAGUUUUCUGUAAAAUGACUAAAUGGAACCAGUUGAGAUCCGAUCAUUGCAGCAUACUGCGACCUGACCCUCAGUUUGCAGAGGAAAAGUUAUGCAGCCAAAGCUCACCAGAUUGAGCUGAGGAGAACAGGAAGUACCAGCACAUUCUUGGAAUAGAGAAGAAAAUGCAAAGUUUUAAAGGAAACCAACUUGUACACGUAAGAGUAUAAACACAAUGCUUUAUAGAACACUCACAAGUUGAACAUCAUUACCUCCAGAACAACACCAAGCUGAUUGUAUUUAGAAAAAAAUUGAGGUGCUACACUUCUUCAGCACAUCCUGACUCCCAUUCUUAUUACACAGCCUGAGGUGUGAUCAUGUCUUUAUGUAACUUUAAUCUUGCUUACACUUUAGGGGGUGGGGUGUGCCAAGAAGAACAAUGGUGCAUUCCGCUCUAUCUUUGAUGUCUAAAGACUUUGAGAGUGACGUCUGUUAAUGUCCCCUUCAGACAAUGACCUUUCCGGAUCUGAAUCUGCAGCUCUGCUGCCAGUGUCCGGCAGGAAGCUAGAAGAGCACAGUGAGAACUGUGAGUGGCGUAUCUUCUCCAGGCGUAGUGUAUUUUCCAAUCACAACACUGCAGAAACCAGUUCCUAAGAUUACGAGGUAAGGUAUGCCCAUGGGAGUGUUGUUUGUUCUGCUUUAUUCUUGCUAUAAUUUCUGUUUUGUAUUUUGUAUCCUCAUAGCAUCUUUACCAUCAAGUUUAUUUCAAUGCAAACAUCACAGACUCUUGAAGGUUAUAUUCUCAGCAAUAAAUAAAUAAACACUAUCGGCAAGCCAUGCCUUUUAUUACCAUGACAUACAUGAGAGUCAGAACACAUUCACAUGUCUUGUCUCUGAGCGUGGCCCCACUAACUGCUACAUACCCCCACCCAGAACAUUGCCCAUGUUUAUCCCACACUUCUCCCAAGCAUGUCUCGGCAUGGCUUUCCCUGACUGUCUAUUAAAGUCAUGCAAUUUACACACCUAUACAUGAACUCAAUACAAUCCGACCAUAACAGGGGAAAGACCAGGGUGUUAUUUCAAAUUACCACAUUCAGUGAGUUAAAAAAGUCUACUGCCAGAGCAAUUCAUUUACCAAAUGUACGGCCAACUUGGGAAAUGCAUGGUCAGGCAAUGAACUACUUUUCCACAGAGGAUGGUGCUGGUAUGGGAAUGGCAAGAUUUCACCUUUGGACAGAGUUGAUAGGAACAUUCAAACAACUGAAUAAAUUAUAAUCUUUAGAAGGAAGUCAACUCUGAAAGCUGUGGCCUGGUGGUCAACUUUUGCUCACAGAAUCACAUGAGCCUUACUGCAUGAGUGAGCCGUGUUUGCCUUAGGCCAUAAUUUCUCUCCAUCCUAAGUCUUGUGAGAUUAAAAAUGCCUACUUUUUCUUCUAUUUCCCAGAUGGUUUGUGCUCUUGUCCAAGCUUUUUCUUUUUUUUUCCCUCUUCCAUUUUAAGUGGACAGAGCCAAGGGAAAGGUGAUCCACAGUAAAGAAAAAUCAAUCCCUAAAGAAGCGUCACUGAGAUAAUAGACCACGGACUGCACAGGACAGAGCAUUGGACUCAUAACUCAAGUCCCUGUGAGACGAAGGGGCGACUGCACUGUAGAUGUUUUCCAGAUCUCAACAGGGUUCUGCUCAAAAAACUUGUCCCUGGUAGCAAAACAUGGGUGACAGGGUGAGAUCUGAGGCAAAGAGGAAGAGUCUAAUCAAUAUAAAAAUAAGAGUCCUUAAGGGCAGCCACAUCACACGAGAGACCGUCACCUAGAAUUCUCUAGUCUACUCCAUGUGGGAUGACAGGUUAAUUAACUAUUAUUCAACAGCAAAAUUAGUUCAGUGUUGCUCCCAGGCAGGAGCCAUCUCAGAACAUAACAGAAAUUCAUCUCUCGCUGGGGUCUGGCUGAAAUUCUUACAGUGCUACUCAGCUAGAAAUAAAACCAGGAUGCCUGGCUGAGUAAAAUGCCUUCCUUUAAAUCAAGUAGUGUUAAUGGGGGUUUGUUUGUUUGUUUGUUUUCGUUGCUUGGUUGUUGUUUUUUCUGUUUGUUUGUUUAAGUCAAACAAACCCUGGGUUGAGCUUUAAGAUAUCGAUGACCCUGUUUAAGGAACCCUGGCUACUUCUCCAAGCACGAGUUUCUUUCCUAUCUUAACUACCACCAAAUGAGAGGCAACGGUAAUGCUCUGUAUCAAGAAGCAAAUGUGCCUCGGCCCAUCGGCAGGGCUGUUUGCAAGCCUCUCCCUUGCUGUGGAAGGAACACAGCUUGGUGAUUUGUGCGUGAACAAUUUAAAUGAAUUAAUCCCAUUGAUGAACGAGAAAAAUGAUGUGUUCAAGGCUCAAAUCAAUUUUUCAGACAAAUAAUUAUAAACUAUUGUACAGCUCAGAACUCUACCGUAAUUAGGGGAAUAAAAUAAAAUGCAUACUAAAAACGCAGCAGAAGAUAAUGCAUCACAAAUUAUGGGCUGUGAUCUCAGAGCAAGGACAUGCCACGGGGGACAGUCGCUCCCCUGAUUCCUGUGUUUCAUCUCUGGAGAAGGUUGCUUCUGCUGAGCUCUAAUGUGGUUAUUAUUGCAAUCACAUUAAUGUACCACAACCAUGUGAACAAAAUACGGAAGUAUUUGUUAAAUUUACUAUAUACUUUAUUGAAAUCCCAAAUCCAAGAUUCUAUCUUUUCUCAUUCUCAAAAAAAAAAAAAAGAGAGAAAGAAAGAAAGAAAGAAAGAAAGAAAGAAAGAAAGAAAAUCA